GCCCUUGAGUUUGAUCAUGGCUCAGGACGAACGCUGGCGGCGCGCCUAACACAUGCAAGUCGAACGGAAUGCGGAGAGGAUUUAUCUUUUCUGUGUUUAGUGGCGAACGGGUGAGUAACGCGUGAGGAACCUGCCUCAAAGAGGGGGACAACAGUUGGAAACGACUGCUAAUACCGCAUAAGCCCACGGGGCCGCAUGGCCCUGAGGAAAAAGGAGCAAUCCGCUUUGAGAUGGCCUCGCGUCCGAUUAGCUGGUUGGUGAGGUAACGGCCCACCAAGGCGACGAUCGGUAGCCGGACUGAGAGGUUGAACGGCCACAUUGGGACUGAGACACGGCCCAGACUCCUACGGGAGGCAGCAGUGGGGAAUAUUGCACAAUGGGGGAAACCCUGAUGCAGCGACGCCGCGUGGAGGAAGAAGGUCUUCGGAUUGUAAACUCCUGUUGUUGGGGAAAAGAAGGAUGGUACCCAACAAGGAAGUGACGGCUAACUACGUGCCAGCAGCCGCGGUAAAACGUAGGUCACGAGCGUUGUCCGGAAUUACUGGGUGUAAAGGGAAGGGC
RNAcentral lists this ribosomal RNA (561 nucleotides) under uncultured Bacillota bacterium. Its description in RNAcentral is "bacterial SSU rRNA". It matches the Rfam family "Bacterial small subunit ribosomal RNA", at positions 1 to 573 of the family's 1533-position model. Lineage: Bacteria; Bacillati; Bacillota. The record is from RNAcentral.